RNAcentral lists this ribosomal RNA (292 nucleotides) under uncultured bacterium. Its description in RNAcentral is "partial 16S ribosomal RNA". It matches the Rfam family "Bacterial small subunit ribosomal RNA", at positions 505 to 796 of the family's 1533-position model. The record is from RNAcentral.
GUGCCAGCCGCCGCGGUAAUACGGAGGGUGCAAGCGUUGUUCGGAUUUACUGGGCGUAAAGAGCGCGUAGGCGGUUAGGCAAGUCAGGUGUGAAAUCCCUUGGCUCAACCAAGGAAGUGCAUUUGAAACUGCUUAACUAGAGUACAGUAGGGGAAAGUGGAAUUCCCAGUGUAGAGGUGAAAUUCAUAGAUAUUGGGAGGAACACCGGUAGCGAAGGCGGCUUUCUGGCCUGAUACUGACGCUGAGACGCGAAAGCGUGGGGAGCAAACAGGAUUAGAAACCCUAGUAGUCC